This 147-nucleotide ribosomal RNA is filed under the name uncultured bacterium. Its description in RNAcentral is "partial 16S ribosomal RNA". It matches the Rfam family "Bacterial small subunit ribosomal RNA", at positions 386 to 525 of the family's 1533-position model. The record is from RNAcentral.
ACGGAGCAAUGCCGCGUGAGUGAAGAAGGUUUUCGGAUCGUAAAACUCUGUUGUUAGAGAAGAACAUGGAUGAAAGUAACUGCUCACCCCCUGACGGUAUCUAACCAGAAAGCCACGGUUAACUACGUGCCAGCAGCCGCGGUAAAU